CACGUAGUUAGCCGUGGCUUCCUCCUCAGGUACCGUCAUUAUCGUCCCUGAAGACAGAGCUUUACAACCCGAAGGCCGUCAUCACUCACGCGGCGUUGCUGCAUCAGGGUUUCCCCCAUUGUGCAAUAUUCCCCACUGCUGCCCCCCGUAGGAGUCUGGGCCGUGUCUCAGUCCCAAUGUGGCCGAUCACCCUCUCAGGUCGGCUACGCAUCGUCGCCUUGGUGAGCCCGUUACCUCACCAACUAGCUAAUGCGCCGCGGGCCCAUCUCAUAGCGGAUUGCUCCUUUAAUUGCUACUUCAUGCGAAGCUACAAUCUUAUGCGGUAUUAAUCUCCCUUUCGGAAGGCUAUUCCCCUCUAUGAGGCAGGUUGCCCACGUGUUACUCACCCGUCCGCCGCUAGCUUUGUUCCGAAGAACUCCACUCGCUCGACUUGCAUGUGUAGGCACGCCGCCAGCGUCGUCUCGUAGCGACGACGUACAACUACUACUCGUAGAACCG
This 498-nucleotide ribosomal RNA is filed under the name uncultured Clostridiaceae bacterium. RNAcentral describes it as "partial 16S ribosomal RNA". The record is from RNAcentral. Lineage: Bacteria; Bacillati; Bacillota; Clostridia; Eubacteriales; Clostridiaceae.